This 355-nucleotide ribosomal RNA is filed under the name uncultured bacterium. Its description in RNAcentral is "bacterial SSU rRNA". It matches the Rfam family "Bacterial small subunit ribosomal RNA", at positions 118 to 507 of the family's 1533-position model. The record is from RNAcentral.
UAGGGAACGUACCUUUUGGUUCGGAACAACACAGGGAAACUUGUGCUAAUACCGGAUAAGCCCUUACGGGGAAAGAUUUAUCGCCGAAAGAUCGGCCCGCGUCUGAUUAGCUAGUUGGUGAGGUAAUGGCUCACCAAGGCGACGAUCAGUAGCUGGUCUGAGAGGAUGAUCAGCCACAUUGGGACUGAGACACGGCCCAAACUCCUACGGGAGGCAGCAGUGGGGAAUAUUGGACAAUGGGCGCAAGCCUGAUCCAGCCAUGCCGCGUGAGUGAUGAAGGCCCUAGGGUUGUAAAGCUCUUUUGUGCGGGAAGAUAAUGACGGUACCGCAAGAAUAAGCCCCGGCUAACUUCGUG